AAACCAUGGAAAAUGCACGGUAAUUCCACUAAAAAUACACUGUAAUUCCACUUGCAAAAUACAGAGCAAAAAUCCCUAAAAGUACACUAUAAAUCCACUAAGACUUACAAUGUAAAUUCCACUAAUAAUUACAGUGUAAAUACCAUGGAAAAUGCACAGUAAUUCCACUAAAAAUAGACUGUAAUUCCACUUGCAAAAUACAGAGCAAAAAUCCACUAAAAGUACACUGUAAAUCCACUAAGACUUACAAUGUAAAUUCCACUAAUAAUUACAAUGUAAAUACCAUGGAAAAUGCACAGUAAUUCCACUAAAAAUACACUGUAAUUCCACUUGCAAAAUACAGAGCAAAAAUCCACUAAAAGUACACUGUAAAUCCACUAAGACUUACAGUGUAGAUUCCACUAAUAAUUACAGUGUAAAUACCAUGGAAAAUGCACAGUAAUUUCACUAAAAAUACACUAUAAUUCCACUAAAAAUGCCACUUGCAAAUACAGGGCAAAAAUCCACUAAAAGUACACUGUAAACCCACAGAUUUACAGUGUAAAUUCCACUGUAAUUCCACUAAUAAUUACAGUGUAAACCCACUGAAAAUGCACUCUAAUUCCACUAAAAGUACACUGUAAAUUCCACUUAAAACACACAGAAGAAUUACACUGUAAUACCACUGAGAAAGUACUAAAUUUAACCCCAGAGAAGCACCACCAGAGAGGGCGAUUCCUCCAUGAUCAAGGACACGAACAUGGUUGGAGAAGCAAAAAAAUCACAGGUAAACACCCCCUCCUAUGCAUUCAUCAGCUCCUGUCGUCUCUCGUCUCUCUCCUGCCUGAACAGAUCUGGAAGAAAGAAC
Molecule: long non-coding RNA, 847 nt
Filed under: Triticum aestivum (bread wheat)
Lineage: Eukaryota; Viridiplantae; Streptophyta; Magnoliopsida; Poales; Poaceae
Description: long non-coding RNA (TAES_LNC025326)
Source: RNAcentral